GAAAUGCGAUAAGUAAUGUGAAUUGCAGAAUUCAGUGAAUCAUCGAAUCUUUGAACGCACCUUGCGCUCCUUGGUAUUCUUGGAGCAUGCCUGUUUGAGUAUCAUGAAAUCUUCAAAGUAAAUCUUUUGUUAACUCAAUUGGUUUCUACUUUGGUAUUGGAGGUCUUUGCAGCUUCACACCUGCUCCUCUUUGUUCAUUAGCUGGAUCUCAGUGUUAUGCUUGGUUCCACUCGGCGUGAUAAGUUAUCUAUCGCUGAGGACACUGUAAAAGGUGGCCAAGGUAAAUGCAGAUGAACCGCUUCUAAUAGUCCAUUGACUUGGACAAUACUUUUAUGAUCUGAUCUCAAAUCAGGUAGGACUACCCGCUGAACUUAAGC
This 377-nucleotide unclassified non-coding RNA is filed under the name plant metagenome. Its description in RNAcentral is "partial contains 5.8S ribosomal RNA, internal transcribed spacer 2, and large subunit ribosomal RNA". The stretch from base 1 to 104 matches the Rfam family "5.8S ribosomal RNA", at positions 50 to 154 of the family's 154-position model. The record is from RNAcentral.